RNAcentral lists this ribosomal RNA (496 nucleotides) under uncultured bacterium. RNAcentral's name for it is "partial 16S ribosomal RNA". It matches the Rfam family "Bacterial small subunit ribosomal RNA", at positions 29 to 507 of the family's 1533-position model. The record is from RNAcentral.
AUGAACGCUGGCGGCGUGCCUAAUACAUGCCAGUCGAGCGAACGGACGAGAAGCUUGCUUCUCUGAUGUUAGCGGCGGACGGGUGAGUAACACGUGGAUAACCUACCUAUAAGACUGGGAUAACUUCGGGAAACCGGAGCUAAUACCGGAUAAUAUUUUGAACCGCAUGGUUCAAAGGUGAAAGACGGUCUUGCUGUCACUUAUAGAUGGAUCCGCGCUGCAUUAGCUAGUUGGUAAGGUAACGGCUUACCAAGGCAACGAUGCAUAGCCGACCUGAGAGGGUGAUCGGCCACACUGGAACUGAGACACGGUCCAGACUCCUACGGGAGGCAGCAGUAGGGAAUCUUCCGCAAUGGGCGAAAGCCUGACGGAGCAACGCCGCGUGAGUGAUGAAGGUCUUCGGAUCGUAAAACUCUGUUAUUAGGGAAGAACAUAUGUGUAAGUAACUGUGCACAUCUUGACGGUACCUAAUCAGAAAGCCACGGCUAACUACGUG